UGGAAACGCUGGCCUCAUAACACAGCCCAGAGCUGGCUGCCUGCCUCCACUGCAGUGUGGCUCCUGUUAGCACAGUUCACUUCACCUUCUGCGCAUUCCUAUGAAGUCAGACACUGCGAAAGGGCUGAGAUUGUCCCCUCUUGCCAGGGAACGAGGUAGCCUGUGCUGGUUCCAUGCACACAUCUGACCAAAGAUCGCAGGGCUCGGUUCAGAGACACAGACUGUGUGUUCUUCACAGCAGAAAGCAGUAGCUCUGCAAGCUCCUGGGUUGGUCCCCACCAUCCCGAUUCCCAUGGGCCACGCAGAGGGCCAGGUGCUCGCCUGCAGCUGUGCAGGUUGCGCCGCAGGAGGGGAGCCCUGAAUUGGGAGCUGGAGCUUUCCUUGAGGUGACUUCAUGACCUGCCGUCCUCCCCUCCAUAGACAUGACCUGGAAUGUCACUCGCUGCCCAGGGGCUGAGGGAAAAGCUCUCUUGGGCUGUAACGCUGGAAGCACAGAUGCAACCGUCUGAGGUCUAACUACACAGUACACAUCAGCCACAGUGGAACAUUGUGGACCGCAGGAGGGUGAGGCAGGAGGCAGGGGGAUUGCUUGAGGCCAGGAGUUCAAGACCAGCUUGGGCAACAUGGUGAGACCUCAUCAACAGCACCACCACCACCGCCACCACCACAACAACAACAAACCAAUGAAACAUUUUUUGGAACUUUUGUUUGAAUUUUUUCAAUCCCUGGUUGAUUGAAUCUGGGGAUAUGGAAUCGGUGGAUAGGGAGGGCCCCACACAGCCCCUUUGUUAAACUCACCUUAAAUUACUCAGUUUGCACGUGCCACGUGCUUGCUGUAGAGAUCCUCUCCGGAUUAAGAAUAUAUUUUUAAAAACUACAAAUCAAUGGGAAAAAGACAAACCUAACGGGAUGAGAAGCAAAGGCUCUGGGUAGGAAAUUCACAAAGACAAAACCUUGCUAGCCAAUAAGCAUAAAAAGAUGCUUGACCUCAGAGAGGCCAAAGCCGAGUCUCAUACCCCACAGUAGUGGCGAGAAUGUGAGGAAAUGGGAUCUCAUUCGCUACUGGCAGAACUGAAAUCCGAGGCAUUAUGGAAUGCGAUUUGGCAGUAUCCUGGAAACUGCAGAGGCUCAGCCAUUCCUCCGCUAGGAGUGCCAAACGCCGCACGUCUCCAUUCAAUCCUGCUCUCCGCGCGCCCCCUGGUGGCACUAGUCCGCACCUGCCCCAUCCCAAGCGCAUUGAUUCCCAAUGAUUGGAAACAACCAAGUGUUUGUCAAUAGGAGAAUGUGUUAGUAAAGUAUAUUAUAUUUAUAAAUUAUAUAGUAGGACAGCAAAAAUCAGCUAGGUCUAAGUCAACAUAGGUAAAUCUCUAAAUCAUAAUGUUAAGUGAAUAAAGGAUAUGCUCUUGUGAGUAUGUGUGAAACUUUAAAACUCAGAACAAUACUGUAUUGUUUAGGAAACAUUCUUUUGUAGUUAAAGUCUGUGAUCAGGGAUAGGGAGGAUAAACACAACCUUCAGAUUAGAGGUUACAUGUGGGAUGGAAGGAUAGGAAUCAACUGGAUAGAGGAACCAUUCAACUCUACCUGUAAACUAUUGUUUCUUAAAAAUGUCUGAAGCAAAGAUGGCAACAAAUUAACACAUAUUAAAAUGGAAUAGUGAUUCACUGGGUGGCUGUAAUAUUCUCAUAU
This 1686-nucleotide long non-coding RNA is filed under the name Homo sapiens (human). RNAcentral describes it as "HSALNT0280092". The record is from RNAcentral. Lineage: Eukaryota; Metazoa; Chordata; Mammalia; Primates; Hominidae.